GACGAACGCUGGCGGCGUGCUUAACACAUGCAAGUCGAACGGUAAGGCCCUUCGGGGUACACGAGUGGCGAACGGGUGAGUAACACGUGGGUGAUCUGCCCUGCACUUCGGGAUAAGCCUGGGAAACUGGGUCUAAUACCGGAUAGGACCAUUGCCUGCAUGGGUGGUGGUGGAAAGCUUUUGCGGGGUGGGAUGGGCCCGCGGCCUAUAAGCUUGUUGGUGGGGUGAUGGCCUACCAAGGCGACGACGGGUAGCCGGCCUGAGAGGGUGACCGGCCACACUGGGACUGAGGUACGGCCCAGACUCCUAAGGGGGGCAGAAGUGGGGAAUAUUGCACAAUGGGCGCAAGACUGAUGCAGCGACGCCGCGUGAGGGAUGACGGCCUUCGGGUUGUAAACCUCUUUCAGCAUCGACGAAGCGCAAGUGACGGUAGGUGCAGAAGAAGGACCGGCCAACUACGUGCCAGCCGCCGCUGUAA
This 478-nucleotide ribosomal RNA is filed under the name uncultured bacterium. RNAcentral's name for it is "partial 16S ribosomal RNA". It matches the Rfam family "Bacterial small subunit ribosomal RNA", at positions 28 to 523 of the family's 1533-position model. The record is from RNAcentral.